GGAGAGGUCGCAUAGUGGUCUAGUGCGCCUGCUUGGAAAGCAGGUGUACCGCAAGGUACCGCGAGUUCGAAUCUCGCCCUCUCCGCCA
Molecule: transfer RNA, 88 nt
Filed under: Minisyncoccota bacterium
Lineage: Bacteria; Bacillati; Minisyncoccota
Description: tRNA-Ser
Rfam family: tRNA
About the family: Transfer RNA (tRNA) molecules are approximately 80 nucleotides in length. Their secondary structure includes four short double-helical elements and three loops (D, anti-codon, and T loops). Further hydrogen bonds mediate the characteristic L-shaped molecular structure. tRNAs have two regions of fundamental functional importance: the anti-codon, which is responsible for specific mRNA codon recognition, and the 3' end, to which the tRNAs corresponding amino acid is attached (by aminoacyl-tRNA synthetases). tRNAs cope with the degeneracy of the genetic code in two manners: having more than one tRNA (with a specific anti-codon) for a particular amino acid; and 'wobble' base-pairing, i.e. permitting non-standard base-pairing at the 3rd anti-codon position.
Source: RNAcentral